UUCAGGUUGAAAUUAAAGCCUUACUUAUUGGGGAAGAGGACACUGUUCAUGACGCUGCCCUUAUUCUUCAAGAAAGCCUUUUGAAAUUCGGCCGUUCAACCAUCAUGACAAGUGACGUGAGCCACGCUGCCACGCAUCUCAAUAGCUAUUCCUUUCAUUUCGUUGUUUUCCACUUGAGUUCAACGCUGUCUUCAGCAGAAGCAGAAACCCUCAAACUCAUCAGGACAAAAUGCAACCAGAACACUGACAAAAUGAUUUCAAUACUUAUUAUUCCUGAAUUGUAUGCUGAGGAUGUCUCAAGCGACACAGCAGAGUUUAUCCUAAUGGAGCCGCUAUCUCAGGACAAGCUGGCGAGAGUCCUUAUUGACUGCCAGUUUCUUACCAGAGGCCAAAGUGACUCAGGUGUAACUCGGGUUUCUUCUACUGAACCAGUGCAGGGAGGUUUGGACCUACCCAGCUUCCAAGGUGGUCUUGUGCCAUCUGUCUUUAAAAGGUUAGUUUUACCUCUUGCAGGUGUUUCCUUGCACUUUCUUUCCCCUAUUAUGUGAUGGUUAAUUCAGCUCUUGUUUUAAAGUAUUAUUUUUAUAAUCUGUUCUAAUAUUAAAAUGUGUACCUACUUAAUACUGUAUAAUGCAUGUUCUGUGUGAGUUUAUAUUGGUUCUGCUUAGGUCAUUAUUUAUCAUGCAUAUUAACUAAUUUAAAAACAAUCUUCUGAAAAGACUAAUCAAUGCUGUGGGGGAAGCCCAUAAGCAAGGCACUGACACUGAUAUGCUUCCCCACCAUCAGCCUUGGGGAAUCUUUUUAUAUUUUUAGUUGGAUCAGGAUCUAAGUAGAACAGCAAUAUAAACUUAUACAGAUUGUACACAAUAUUAAACAAGGAAUGUAUUGCACUGUAGGUGGUGUAAGGUUUUAACACCUCUAGUUAUUAACAUCGUAUGUUUCUUUGAAUAAUAAAGGUGGCAGUGGCAGCUGUAAUCUUUCACACAAACUGCUUUGCAAGCAUUCCUUAUUUACUUAAAUGUGUUCUUCAACUUAACCCCAAGAAUAAUAAAUGACAAAACUAAUAUACACUUUAAUAUUGUACAGUGCCAGUUUUGGAGAUCACCAUUUCAGAACCCAGGCAGCAAAUGCCCUCCCCACAGUCAUUCUGCUUGUGUUCAUCUGUCCCACUUCUGGACGGCUGUGUAUAUUUGUAGGCAAAGAACAUUUUCAUAUGUUGCAUUUUAUUAAAAUCCCCUUUUUCUGCUACCAUAUGCUAUUUGCAUUAAAUUACUGACACUUAUGUAUUUUGCAGUUGUAAUGUCAAUAGUGCUUUCUGUCCCACUUUCUGAAAACUGUGUUUUUGGUAGUGCCUGCUGUAGAAAAAGCAAUCCAGUUACAUGAUUAAUGGCUUUUGGGAACAAUCAAAUAGUAUUUAAAACCCUUUCUACCUGGUCUGCAGAGACAGUCAGUGAUAUACUGCCCUUAGAAUACAAUAAAUGUGAUGUUACAACAAAAAUGAUGAAUAUGGUACACAAAGUGACACCUCCUUGCAAGAGAACAAGAACCACAUCAUAAAACACUGACAAGGAGAAUUGCUUUAAUACUAUUUUCCAAUUUAAGAAAAAAAUAGCAAUGGAUGUAAACUUUGAUUUGUGUGGCUGGGAUGCUUUAGCACUUGCUCCUCCUUCUUUCGAGAUCCUUCUGUGAAACUUUCUUGCCCCACUCCCACCCAUCAGUAAGAACCGUGGGUGUUUGCUAGGUUACAGUUAAUCAUAACUGCUUUCUACACAAUAAACCAAAUUAAAUUAAUUAACAAGAGUGUAUUUGUGCUGACACCAUUUAUUAUCUAUAUUUCAUAGUAGCCUGGAAUCAGCUAUCUUACGCUUCCACCUUUGGUGGACCAGCAAGGGUUACGUGACCUCUUACAUUAACUUUUAAUAUGAAAAAAUAUGGGUCGUACCCCGUAUGAAAAGAAUAAUAGAUGAAAAAGGUGGGCAUUUUUACCACCUUUAGGUACUUUGUCACUAGUUCACCAUGAACUGUAAAGUUAGAUUGCUAGUGACUAAAUAACACAGACAAAUCACUCCAUUUCUUUGCCCGAACUUACCAAUGACACAUAAAUGCAUUUCUAGUUGCUAUGUGCUUUUUUAUGAAGGAAGCAUUUCAAGUUUUUAAGAGAUGCCUCAGCAGUGCAUUAUUUUAAUGUAAAUCGAUGGAGUCUUUAUCCAGUAUAUCAAGUUUGUUUGUUACUUCUGGACUGAAAGUAUUGAUUUGAACAGUGCUUUCUGUGUUUGGUGCUAUUGAUUGUUUUCAGUUGAUUGUGAAACACUUUUUAGCUUCAUAUAUGCCUCAGCAGCUGCUUGCGUUCUGAAACUUGCAAUUUGUAGUAAGAAAAGAAAAAUCAAUAAAAAAUCUCCUGCUGAAUUGUCAGAAAAUUUUUGAAAUGGCUGUGCAAUUUAAAAAUGUGUUCUGUUCUGUAAAGAUUGAUCUAUUAGACAAUCUAUCAACGUUUAAAUAGUCUACAUGUAAAAAGUUAUUUCAACAUGUUUUUGCAACACAAUGUGUGAUGCUGUCUGUUCGGCACUCUUGCUCUGUAGGUCAUGAAGGUAAUUGUUACACAGAGUCCACAUACCCUGCCAGGAACAUCCACUUGAAAUAGUGACCCUUAUAUAUUCACGUAAAUAUUAUCACUCACGUUAAGUCACAUUAAGCAAUUCGGAUAUGCACAAUGUAUUUAAAUUCUUUGGAACCACAAUUGUAAAUUUAAAACAAAAAAAUGUGUGUGUAGCUCGGAGUGGUCAGACACUGGUAUGGCCUGUGGAAGCCAGCCUUCGUUCUCUGAAGAGAUCACUUGCAUGGCAGAAGCUGUUCUUCAUUCUAGAAAAGAGCACACAAGGAGGUAAGAGAAAUACACUUGGAACCAAGGUAGGGGUCUUGGUGGCACAGCGGGUUAAUGCAUGGGGCUUUCACCUGUGGAGGUCUAGGUUGUCUUGGAACUCAUUGGACUGUAGGUUUAUAAACUUGCUAUUCUAUGCCAGGGAUGCUCACAGCAACAUUACUGGUACGACUGUAUUCCUGUACUGUACUGUCUUUUUUUUCUUCCUAUCCAGAAUCCAUUGGAAGCAUUAGGUAGCCCAAAAUUAGUGCAAAGCAGAGCAUGUGAUUUGAAUUGUUGAUCAUUUUCUAGUUUUGAGCUUUAUAAUAAAAGGGCAUUUUAGUGUUAUUGCCUAGAUUAAUACAUUUUUUAAAUUUAAAAUAGGCUGCAAAUUAAAGAGUGUUGUGACCGUCUGCGGGCUCUCCUUCCAAACGUAAAGGACAAUUGGAUUGAUACUGCGUCUGUUCUUGAGAUGACUGUGGAGUAUAUGAGGUACCUUCAGAACAGCGCUCCGGAGGAAGUUUUGUCACAGGUGCUGCUGGAUCCAGUUACAUUGCAUUGUUUAUUAAAUCCCUUUAUACUGAAUUUAAACUCAGACAAUCACACGGUGUUUGUGUAAGAGUGUUAAUGGGUGUUUUGAAGUGCUCUCCCUGUGGGUGUCAUUUAUUUUAUUAUUUUUUGUUAAUUGGAGGGUCACCUCAUUCACAGUUGUCCCAGGGAAGAUCUUAUGGGAUUUGUUUUGAAGGAUAGCAGCGUUGCCACCCUUUCCAAAAUAUUGGAGCUGGUGUGCUUGUUUUCUUUUUUUUUUUUUUUUUUUUUUUUUUUUUAUCUUAACAUUUCUAAUUCCUGGCUUCUUGGGAUGAUUUACAUGGGAUAGUGAACUGCAAAGGCUUCUAAGAGGUAAUAGCAAGCAGCAACCAAUAUAGAAUGUAUUUUAAUGUUUUGAAUGCAUAUUUUGCAUAAACAAGCCUAAUUUUGAUAUUGGUUACCAGCACCUUAAGUAAUAACAGCAUAUGUCAUUUCUAUAUUCAGUCUGCACCUCUUUUUCAGGUGGCUAAAUUAAUGGGAGAAAACAGGCUUGGACGAUGGUCGAAAAAAACUAAAAUCCCAUUAAAACCAACUAAACCCCCACUGAAAGGGUAAUUAUUGAUUUGAGUUUUGUGCACACAAAUGAGUUAUUUGUGUGUUUGGAUCAUCAGUAUAUGUCGGAUUUCUGCCACAGUGGCGCUGUUCUACACCUGCCGUUUACACAGUACUCAUGCCACAUAUUAGAAAUAGUCAUUAGUCAGUGUAUUAGUCAAUGCUAUUGUUAAACGUAGUACCGUAUAUCAUGUAUUGCUAUCGUUGACUGAUAUGUAGUACUGUUACCUGCUUGCAAUAUAAAAACAUUUUUAAAAGCAAUAAACCAAUCUAACCAUUCCCAAUAAAGCACAUCUGUUUAGAGCAUUUCUGACAAUAGUACUUUGUAGUAUAUAAAAAGACAGUAUCAGAAACCAGAAUGGCCAUAUGGUGUACAAGAUGUGGCAUGCAUUUGAUUAUGCGUUCCCAGCUUUAUUUUUGCUGCAGUACAGAACACCCUUUUCUCUCCUAUUUUUUUUCAAUAAAAAUCAGAAGGGUAAAUUGUUUACUUUCUGUAGUUUCUUGGAUUUAAGCAAAGAAGUUUAAUGUAACCUUUUAGACUACAUAAAAACCCAUGAAGAACAUGUAUCUCCCUUCAUCAGGUGAAAGGCAUCAGUGAAAUUAAUACUGAACUAGAUGCAUUUUAUUCAAACAUUGUACUGUAUGCAACAUUUUUCAAACUGUCUAAAUCAAUCAAAGGUACAAACUCUUCUGAAAUUUUGGUCAUUAUUCUUCUGCAAACAUUUGUCACCUAUAAAGAUGCAUUUAAGUUCAUUUUGAUUGCAUUUCCUUGUUAUUUUAUAGGAAAGAACGUAACGUAAAGAAAAGUAAAUGCAAAAAAGACAAAAACCCCAAAGCUGGAAGAUUUAAAGCAAAGAAACCCAAAGCCGAUUACCUGUUAGCAAACUCCUUGGGAAAAUGCAUACUUCCUGCAGUAGACAAAAGCACCAAAUGGAGGCCGACUGGCCAGCCUGCUGCUGUCAUAAUUCCUGAUUCCAACCCAAACUCUGCAGAAGUGCUGUACCAGGAUUUUCCAGCACAUCAAUAUCCUGAAGGAAAUAAUGUCACUUUUGAAAGCUUCGGUACCACUGCAAAUUUCCCUAU
Long non-coding RNA from Polyodon spathula (Mississippi paddlefish), 5080 nucleotides. RefSeq lists it as uncharacterized. The transcript is spliced from 5 exons. The record is from RefSeq and is a predicted model, not a curated record. Lineage: Eukaryota; Metazoa; Chordata; Actinopteri; Acipenseriformes; Polyodontidae.